AGGUGACAACACUGCAGUGAGAAAUCGAUAUUUUACAAGAUGCCCAUGCUUUUUGCAGAAAGAGAAGUGUCUGUCACAAAUGUUCCUUGACUGAUUUUGAAAUUUUUGCUUUCAAGUUUGGAAAAGACUACUCAAUGGGAUUAUGAAGAGAGACAAGAAAAAUGACAGACCAACCGAACAGCCGAUCAAAC
Long non-coding RNA from Phyllostomus hastatus (greater spear-nosed bat), 191 nucleotides. RefSeq lists it as uncharacterized. The record is from RefSeq and is a predicted model, not a curated record. The transcript is spliced from 3 exons. NCBI's taxonomy places the organism in Eukaryota, Metazoa, Chordata, Mammalia, Chiroptera, Phyllostomidae.